Molecule: ribosomal RNA, 766 nt
Filed under: uncultured Staphylococcus sp.
Lineage: Bacteria; Bacillati; Bacillota; Bacilli; Caryophanales; Staphylococcaceae
Description: bacterial SSU rRNA
Rfam family: Bacterial small subunit ribosomal RNA
Source: RNAcentral
GAUGAACGCUGGCGGCGUGCCUAAUACAUGCAAGUCGAGCGAACAGACGAGGAGCUUGCUCCUCUGACGUUAGCGGCGGACGGGUGAGUAACACGUGGAUAACCUACCUAUAAGACUGGGAUAACUUCGGGAAACCGGAGCUAAUACCAGAUAACAUGUUGAACCGCAUGGUUCAACAGUGAAAGACGGUCUUGCUGUCACUUAUAGAUGGAUCCGCGCCGCAUUAGCUAGUUGGUAAGGUAACGGCUUACCAAGGCAACGAUGCGUAGCCGACCUGAGAGGGUGAUCGGCCACACUGGAACUGAGACACGGUCCAGACUCCUACGGGAGGCAGCAGUAGGGAAUCUUCCGCAAUGGGCGAAAGCCUGACGGAGCAACGCCGCGUGAGUGAUGAAGGUCUUCGGAUCGUAAAACUCUGUUAUUAGGGAAGAACAAAUGUGUAAGUAACUAUGCACGUCUUGACGGUACCUAAUCAGAAAGCCACGGCUAACUACGUGCCAGCAGCCGCGGUAAUACGUAGGUGGCAAGCGUUAUCCGGAAUUAUUGGGCGUAAAGCGCGCGUAGGCGGUUUUUUAAGUCUGAUGUGAAAGCCCACGGCUCAACCGUGGAGGGUCAUUGGAAACUGGAAAACUUGAGUGCAGAAGAGGAAAGUGGAAUUCCGUGUGUAGCGGUGAAAUGCGCAGAGAUAUGGAGGAACACCAGUGGCGAAGGCGACUUUCUGGUCUGUAACUGACGCUGAUGUGCGAAAGCGUGGGGAUCAAACAGG